GGAGGAGUCGUAUAGUGGUCUAUUACACGAGUUUGGAGAACUCGGACUCGCAAGGGUCUCGUGGGUUCGAAUCCCACCUCCUCCGCCA
RNAcentral lists this transfer RNA (88 nucleotides) under Candidatus Woesebacteria bacterium CG_4_10_14_0_2_um_filter_44_9. Its description in RNAcentral is "tRNA-Ser". It matches the Rfam family "tRNA". From Rfam's summary of the family: Transfer RNA (tRNA) molecules are approximately 80 nucleotides in length. Their secondary structure includes four short double-helical elements and three loops (D, anti-codon, and T loops). Lineage: Bacteria; Candidatus Woeseibacteriota. The record is from RNAcentral.